Molecule: ribosomal RNA, 253 nt
Filed under: uncultured bacterium
Lineage: Bacteria
Description: partial 16S ribosomal RNA
Rfam family: Bacterial small subunit ribosomal RNA
Source: RNAcentral
AACGUAGGUUCCGAGCGUUAUCCGGAUUUACUGGGCGUAAAGCGCGUUCAGGCGGUUUGGCAAGUCGGGCAUGAAAUCUCUCGGCUCAACCGGGAGAGGUUGUCCGAUACUGCUGGACUUGAGGGCAGUAGAGGGUGGUGGAAUUCCGGGUGUAGUGGUGAAAUGCGUAGAUAUCCGGAGGAACACCAAUUGCGAAGGCAGCUCGCUGGGACGUUACUGACGCUGAGACGCGAAAGCGUGGGGAGCAAACAGG